This 253-nucleotide ribosomal RNA is filed under the name uncultured bacterium. RNAcentral describes it as "partial 16S ribosomal RNA". It matches the Rfam family "Bacterial small subunit ribosomal RNA", at positions 524 to 776 of the family's 1533-position model. The record is from RNAcentral.
UACGAGGGGGGCUAGCGUUAAUCGGAUUUACUGGGCGUAAAGCGCGCGUAGGCGGCUGAUUAAGUCAAAUGUGAAAUCCCCGAGCUUAACUUGGGAAUUGCAUUCGAUACUGGUUAGCUAGAGUGUGGGAGAGGAUGGUAGAAUUCCAGGUGUAGCGGUGAAAUGCGUAGAGAUCUGGAGGAAUACCGAUGGCGAAGGCAGCCAUCUGGCCUAACACUGACGCUGAGGUGCGAAAGCAUGGGGAGCAAACAGG